UGCCCAACAACUCCUAUCCCUACCUCCUUGUGGUACUGGCCGGGGUACGAGUAACCUUGGGGAAGAUCGGGCAACAAACCCCGGUGGGAGCUUUGGUCGUAUGCUGACAGAGAAGG
This 116-nucleotide ribozyme is filed under the name Aedes aegypti (yellow fever mosquito). Its description in RNAcentral is "drz-agam-1 ribozyme". It matches the Rfam family "drz-agam-1 ribozyme". The record is from Rfam by way of RNAcentral. Lineage: Eukaryota; Metazoa; Arthropoda; Insecta; Diptera; Culicidae.